GCGCUCGUAGCUCAGCUGGAUAGAGCGGCGGUUUCCUAAACCGCAGGUCGGAGGUUCGAGUCCCCCCGGGCGCG
This 74-nucleotide transfer RNA is filed under the name Phycisphaerales bacterium. Its description in RNAcentral is "tRNA-Arg". It matches the Rfam family "tRNA". Rfam says of the family: Transfer RNA (tRNA) molecules are approximately 80 nucleotides in length. Their secondary structure includes four short double-helical elements and three loops (D, anti-codon, and T loops). The record is from RNAcentral. Lineage: Bacteria; Pseudomonadati; Planctomycetota; Phycisphaerae; Phycisphaerales.